Long non-coding RNA from Trichoplusia ni (cabbage looper), 924 nucleotides. RefSeq lists it as uncharacterized. NCBI's taxonomy places the organism in Eukaryota, Metazoa, Arthropoda, Insecta, Lepidoptera, Noctuidae. The record is from RefSeq and is a predicted model, not a curated record. The transcript is spliced from 2 exons.
UAUUUUUACCUUAUAUUAACUUAUAUUUUUUAACAACCGUAUUGUACCGCGACGUCUAUAGUUCUAACGGACUACGAAAAUAAACCUUAAAGCUAUAAGUUAAAGGGUCAAAGUGCAACCAUCUAUUUCAUAAUAGUUUGACUACACAGUAUCAAAAUGCAUCUACCACCAUAACUAAACAAAUAAGUUUUAUAUUAUCUAUAUAUUAUUAUAUAAAAUAUAGAAUAUGUUUAUAUUUUUUAAAGAUUUUAAGUUAAUUUUUAAUAAAUAUUUCUUCCUCUUUAAUAUCUAAAUCUAUGAGCAAAAUUAAAAACUAUACAACAAUAUAAUAGAGGUACGUUUACAAAAUAUAAAACAAAAAUAACAUUACGUAUGAAAUAUAUUAUAAACAUAUCUUUUAUUAUACUUUUUUUUGUUUGAUGUGAUAUAGUUUACUCAAAUAACAUACUAGUAUAUUUUUUUAUCUUUUAAUAUUAUCUCUAAUACUAUAAAUGCAUAGGUAAAUCACCUAAAUAUUAGACUAGGAUAAAGUACUUUGUUACGACUAGGAGCAAUUAUAAUUACGUAAAGAAAACGAACAAAAUACUAAAGAUCGAGAACUACGUUUACUUAAAAUUAUAUUCUACGUGCUUUGUACAACCUGUUUUUAACCUUAUAACAAAUAAUUUAAGUACUUAUUUGCUUGUACCUUGGAAAUUAUGGAACAAUUAUUACGUUACGAGGUUGUUUUUUUGUCAAGAGGCAUCCUCAUAUUACUGCAAAAUAAACUUCAAACAAAAAAUAUCGAUAAGAAAUAAAUCGAGUAACAUAAAAGGCUUUAGCCUGCACGAUUCUGCUAAUUAUCUAAUUGUAUUGUCUUAAUUUCUAAACUACACCCUGUAAUUAUAUCACGUUAUGGGUUACCUGUCAAAAUUAGGACAUUAU